RNAcentral lists this ribosomal RNA (161 nucleotides) under Trametes elegans. Its description in RNAcentral is "5.8S ribosomal RNA". It matches the Rfam family "5.8S ribosomal RNA". From Rfam's summary of the family: 5.8S ribosomal RNA (5.8S rRNA) is a component of the large subunit of the eukaryotic ribosome. It is transcribed by RNA polymerase I as part of the 45S precursor that also contains 18S and 28S rRNA. Lineage: Eukaryota; Fungi; Basidiomycota; Agaricomycetes; Polyporales; Polyporaceae. The record is from RNAcentral.
CAACUUUCAGCAACGGAUCUCUUGGCUCUCGCAUCGAUGAAGAACGCAGCGAAAUGCGAUAAGUAAUGUGAAUUGCAGAAUUCAGUGAAUCAUCGAAUCUUUGAACGCACCUUGCGCUCCUUGGUAUUCCGAGGAGCAUGCCUGUUUGAGUGUCAUGGAAU